GUGCCAGCCGCUGCGGUAAUACGUAGGUGGCAAGCGUUGUCCGGAUUUAUUGGGCGUAAAGCGAGCGCAGGCGGUUUCUUAAGUCUGAUGUGAAAGCCCCCGGCUCAACCGGGGAGGGUCAUUGGAAACUGGGAGACUUGAGUGCAGAAGAGGAGAGUGGAAUUCCAUGUGUAGCGGUGAAAUGCGUAGAUAUAUGGAGGACACCAGUGGCGAAGGCGGCUCUCUGGUCUGUAACUGACGCUGAGGCUCGAAAGCGUGGGGAGCGAACAGGAUUAGAUACCCUGGUAGUCCACGCCGUAAACGAUGAGUGCUAAGUGUUGGAGGUUUCCGCCUUCAGUGCUGCAGCAAACGCAUUAAGCACUCCGCCUGGGGAGUACGACCGCAAGGUUGAAACUCAAAGGAAUUGACGGGGCCCGCACAAGCGGUGGAGCAUGUGGUUUAAUUCGAAGCAACGCGAAGAACCUUACCAGGUCUUGACAUCCUUUGACCCACUCUAGAGAUAGAGCUUCCCCUUCGGGGGCAAAG
Molecule: ribosomal RNA, 525 nt
Filed under: uncultured Enterococcus sp.
Lineage: Bacteria; Bacillati; Bacillota; Bacilli; Lactobacillales; Enterococcaceae
Description: bacterial SSU rRNA
Rfam family: Bacterial small subunit ribosomal RNA
Source: RNAcentral